UGGGGAAUUUUGGACAAUGGACGAAAGCCUGAUCCAGCAAUGCCGCGUGUGUGAAGAAGGCCUUCGGGUUGUAAAGCACUUUUGUCCGGAAAGAAAUCCUUGGCUCUAAUACAGUCGGGGGAUGACGGUACCGGAAGAAUAAGCACCGGCUAACUACGUGCCAGCAGCCGCGGUAAUACGUAGGGUGCAAGCGUUAAUCGGAAUUACUGGGCGUAAAGCGUGCGCAGGCGGUUUGCUAAGACCGAUGUGAAAUCCCCGGGCUCAACCUGGGAACUGCAUUGGUGACUGGCAGGCUAGAGUAUGGCAGAGGGGGGUAGAAUUCCACGUGUAGCAGUGAAAUGCGUAGAGAUGUGGAGGAAUACCGAUGGCGAAGGCAGCCCCCUGGGCCAAUACUGACGCUCAUGCACGAAAGCGUGGGGAGCAAACAGGAUUAGAUACCCUGGUAGUCCACGCCCUAAACGAUGUCAACUAGUUGUUGGGGAUUCAUUUCCUUAGUAACGUAGCUAACGCGUGAAGUUGACCGCCUGGGGAGUACGGUCGCAAGAUUAAAACUCAAAGGAAUUGACGGGGUCAUAGCUG
RNAcentral lists this ribosomal RNA (579 nucleotides) under uncultured bacterium. RNAcentral's name for it is "partial 16S ribosomal RNA". It matches the Rfam family "Bacterial small subunit ribosomal RNA", at positions 355 to 932 of the family's 1533-position model. The record is from RNAcentral.